RNAcentral lists this ribosomal RNA (501 nucleotides) under uncultured bacterium. RNAcentral describes it as "partial 16S ribosomal RNA". It matches the Rfam family "Bacterial small subunit ribosomal RNA", at positions 29 to 523 of the family's 1533-position model. The record is from RNAcentral.
AUUGAACGCUGGCGGCAUGCCUUACACAUGCAAGUCGAACGGCAGCACGGGUGCUUGCACCUGGUGGCGAGUGGCGAACGGGUGAGUAAUACAUCGGAACGUACCUUAUCGUGGGGGAUAACGCAGCGAAAGCUGUGCUAAUACCGCAUACGCCCUGAGGGGGAAAGCGGGGGAUCGAAAGACCUCGCGCGAUUAGAGCGGCCGAUGCCUGAUUAGCUUGUUGGCGGGGUAAAAGCCCACCAAGGCGACGAUCAGUAGCUGGUCUGAGAGGACGAUCAGCCACACUGGGACUGAGACACGGCCCAGACUCCUACGGGAGGCAGCAGUGGGGAAUUUUGGACAAUGGGGGCAACCCUGAUCCAGCAAUGCCGCGUGAGUGAAGAAGGCCUUCGGGUUGUAAAGCUCUUUUGUCAGGGAAGAAACAGCAGCUCUAACACAGUCUGCGAAUGACGGUACCUGAAGAAUAAGCACCGGCAAACUACGUGCCAGCAGCCGCGGUAA